AUCAUCACCAUGCUUUCUAUGAGAAAUCAACAGAAUAUGAUGCCCAAACCAAACCCUAAUCCAUAAAUUGAAGAGAGGAUCAAAGAUAAUCUUCAAAGGAUGCAAAAUCUUAGCAACAUGAAUCUCUCCCGACAUCCGAUCAUAAAAAACCAUCCAUAACUCUAAGUCGGCUCAAAAAUCAACUCUUCAGCUUCCUCCCUCACAGAAAUUUUCCAGGUAAAAUCUUUGCUUUCUCCUUUGGAAUAUGAGUAAUUAUGAGUUGAAAUUAAGGUUCACAAAUUCUUUAUAGAAAAGGGUUUCAGGGUUUAUGAUUUUUUUAUUCUUGGCAUUCAAACUGGAGAACACGGCUCAUGUUAUCUAAAACAAAGGCGUCAGUAUAAAACAUAGAAAAUGUAAGCGAGAGAGGUUGAUGAUUAGUGAAGGGUUAACGCUCGAGGUUAACAUGAAACAUGAGAAGCAGCUUGGGAACAUAGAACAAAGCCGGAUUUUCUUUGUUGAUGGUUGUGGCAAGGAUGGGAAAGAGAUUUAUGUUCCCUUUAAGGAACAUUAGUGACAAAUUGCUAUGAUCAAACCUGAGGAGAAAAAAUGGGUUAGAUUCAUGUAAUGUAAGAAGAUAGGUCUUACAAUUUUAAUAGCUAUGAAUUGGAAGAUACUUUGAGGGUGGACAAGGGAGUCAUUGUCAAAAGAAAAUAAGGUCGAAUUAGUUUCAUCAUCAUCAGAGUCCGAAAGAGUUUUCUCCUACAAGUGAUUACAGUUGUGUCAUCUUUGCCUCUUCCAAGAACUGGUCUUGUUGGACAGAGUCACAGAGAGCAUCAAUUUUAGAUUUAAAUAUUAAAAAAAAAUCAGUUCAAGAAGUUUUGCAUAUUUAAGGAACAAAAAAUGAAGUUUUGCAUUUUAUUACUUUCAUGUCUUUAAUACAAACAAACCAUUAAACUGAUGGAGUCCACCAGUAGUUACUAUAAAAUAGUUUCAUCUUGAACUGAUUUUUUUUUAACAUAUUAGAAAAAUAUAUAAGUUUUUUUUAAUAUUCAGUAGUGAUAAUGUUCACAUAUUAGUGCAGAUGAAUAUUCUAAAAAUUUAUAAAUACAAAUAAAAUUACUAGAAUAAGUUAUUUAUUUCUAUCACUUUCAAUUUUAAUUAAAAAUUACAUGUAAAUAUUUUAUUUCAACAAUAUAUAAGAUAAAUAUAUAUAAUAUUUAAAUUCGUUGAACUUUUCAUAUAUUAGUUCCCUAAUCUAAUAAAAUAAAUAUAUAAUAAAAACCAUAGAAACAUGUCAUGCAAUUAUUUAAAACAAUUAACUGAAAAUGGACAAAUAUGUAAACUAUAAAAUUAUUGUAUCUAAGAGAGUCAUACAAACAUAAACUAAAUGAUUAGUAUUAAAAAUAUAUAUACCAUAAAUGAUGUAAAAACAAAUAUUAAUGUAUAUAAAAUGAAAAUAAAUACCCGCACAUCAAAUCUAAGUAUAUAUAUUACAAAGUUUAUUAAACCAAUGGUAAGAUCUUUGUAGCCCCACAUUCUUUUCCUUCGAAUUGAUAUAUAGCCUUUGUGAAUCGUGUGUGUUGUUAAGGAGUUUAUGGAAGUUUGGAUUGUUAUUAGUGAUCUGGCUGUUACAGAUUCAGAAUGCCACUCGUUCUUCGAUGACUAGUCAACGCUAUGGUGGUUCAUGUCCCUUUUGCCCCUUUGGACUGGUUGAUUGGGGUCGGCAGUUGAGGUUCUCUUCAUGGGCUUGUCUACAUCAUGUCUCAAUCUGUCUUCUAAUCAUGGUUUUAUUGUGGGUUUUUUUGUUGUUUCUUUUAUUAUCUUUGUGAAGUUGUUCAUGUUCACUUAUUUGAGCCUUCGAACGGUUUCUCUGAGUGAUGCUUGUCUUCGUUCAGAUGUUAUAUCCGGUUGUGCUCUUAUCAAUUCAUCGUCUAAGGCUUCCCUUCUGAUUUUUUUGUUGGUCGGGUUGGUGUCAUUCUGGUUCCGAUCCGCCUUCUUCUCAGGUUUGUU
Long non-coding RNA from Brassica napus (rape), 1989 nucleotides. RefSeq lists it as uncharacterized. The record is from RefSeq and is a predicted model, not a curated record. Lineage: Eukaryota; Viridiplantae; Streptophyta; Magnoliopsida; Brassicales; Brassicaceae. The transcript has 3 exons.